Molecule: transfer RNA, 69 nt
Filed under: Cricetulus griseus (Chinese hamster)
Lineage: Eukaryota; Metazoa; Chordata; Mammalia; Rodentia; Cricetidae
Rfam family: tRNA
About the family: Transfer RNA (tRNA) molecules are approximately 80 nucleotides in length.
Source: Rfam by way of RNAcentral
GGGUAUGUAGCUCAUUGGUUAAGAGCAUGGCUUCUACAGAGGACCUGGGUUCUAUUCCCAGCAUCCACA